This is a long non-coding RNA of Anoplopoma fimbria (sablefish), 489 nucleotides long. RefSeq lists it as uncharacterized. Lineage: Eukaryota; Metazoa; Chordata; Actinopteri; Perciformes; Anoplopomatidae. The record is from RefSeq and is a predicted model, not a curated record. The transcript is spliced from 6 exons.
UACACGGUCCAUGGUGGAGUCUUCAGGUCGGUGAAGAAGAGGAACGUCACACAGACCAACUGAAAGAACGUCUUCUCCGUGCUGAAGCUCUGAGACUGCUGAAUGAACAAAGACGCAUGAAGGGCCAGGAGAAGAAGAGAACGAUAACGCCUGGAACAAACAUUUGAGUGAAGACACAAGGUGUUGGACGAGGAGCAGCAGACUGGAUGGAGACGAGGACAUCAAGAGAAGGUUGGAGGAGCAGCUGGAGAAACAGAGGGAGGCUCAUCAGAAGCUGCUCAGCCGCCUCCGAGACCAAACUGCUGAAUGAACAAAGACACAUGAAGGGCCUGGAGGAGACGAGAACGGGAGCGCAUGGAACAAACAUUUGAUGAGGGCAGAGUUUCCACACCUGACCUGAAGAAGAAGAAGACGACGCCGACGGAGUUCCUUUUCUUCUUCAUCCUCCUCUUCUUCCACCCUGCGGUUACUCUGAGAGUCUAAAAGAAU